AUAUACAGCCAUACCAUCCUGAACGUGCCCGAUCUCAUCUCAUCUCAGAAGCUAAGCAGGGUCAGGCCUGGUUAGUACUUGGAUGGGAGACUAUCUAGGAAUACUGGGUGCUGUAGGCU
Molecule: ribosomal RNA, 119 nt
Filed under: Cebus imitator (Panamanian white-faced capuchin)
Lineage: Eukaryota; Metazoa; Chordata; Mammalia; Primates; Cebidae
Source: RNAcentral